GGAGGAAAAGAAACCAACAGGGAUUGCCUCAGUAACGGCGAGUGAAGCGGCAAAAGCUCAAAUUUUAAAGCUGACAUCUUCGGUGUCCGCGUUGUAAUUUUGUGAGGCAUCUCCGGGUAGGGCGCCGGCCUAAGUUCCUUGGAACAGGACGUCACAGAGGGUGAGAAUCCCGUGCUUGGCUGGCUGUCCCCGUCCAUGUGAGGUGUCUUCGACGAGUCGAGUUGUUUGGGAAUGCAGCUCAAAAUGGGUGGUAAAUUUCAUCUAAAGCUAAAUAUUGGUGGGAGACCGAUAGCGCACAAGUAGAGUGAUCGAAAGAUGAAAAGCACUUUGAAAAUAGAGUUAAAAAGUACGUGAAAUUGUUGAAAGGGAAGCGCUUGAGACCAGACUUCGGUAAGGGGUGAUCAGCCGUCCUUCUGGGCGGUGCACUUGCCCCCCUCCGGGCCAGCAUCGGUUGAGGCGGCGGGAUAAAGGUCCCGGGAAUGUGGCUCCUUCACGGGAGUGUUAUAGCCCGGGUGAAUGCCGCCAGCUUCGACCGAGGACCGCACCCGCAAGGGUUAGGAUGCUUGGCAUAAUGGUCUUCAGCGACCCGU
Molecule: ribosomal RNA, 590 nt
Filed under: Morchella brunnea
Lineage: Eukaryota; Fungi; Ascomycota; Pezizomycetes; Pezizales; Morchellaceae
Description: eukaryotic LSU rRNA
Rfam family: Eukaryotic large subunit ribosomal RNA
Source: RNAcentral